GCAUAUCAAUAAGCGAGAAAAGAAAACAACAGAGGAUUGCCCCAGUAAACGGCGAGUGAAGCGGCAAGAGCUCAAAUUUGAAAGCUGGCUCCUUCGGGGUCCGCAUUGUAAUUUGCAGAGGAUGCUUCGGGAGCGGUCCCCAUCUAAGUGCCCUGGAACGGGACGUCAUAGAGGGUGAGAAUCCCGUAUGGGAUGGGGUGUCCGCGCCCGUGUGAAGCUCCUUCGACGAGUCGAGUUGUUUGGGAAUGCAGCUCUAAAUGGGUGGUAAAUUUCAUCUAAAGCUAAAUAUUGGCCGGAGACCGAUAGCGCACAAGUAGAGUGAUCGAAAGAUGAAAAGCACUUUGAAAAGAGAGUUAAAAAGCACGUGAAAUUGUUGAAAGGGAAGCGCUUGCGACCAGACUCGCUCGCGGGGUUCAGCCGGCAUUCGUGCCGGUGUAUUUUCCCCGCGGGCGGGCCAGCGUCGGUUUGGGCGGUCGGUCAAAGGCCCUCGGAAGGUAACGCCCCUAGGGGCGUCUUAUAGCCGAGGGUGCAAUGCGACCUGCCUAGACCGAGGAACGCGCUUCGGCUCGGACGCUGGCAUAAUGGUCGUAAGCGACCCGUCUUGAAACACGGACCAAGGAGUCUAACAUCUACGCGAGUGUUCGGGUGUCAAACCCGUGCGCGAAGUGAAAGCGAACGGAGGUGGGAACCCUUACGGGUGCACCAUCGACCGAUCCUGAAGUCUUCGGAUGGAUUUGAGUAAGAGCGUAGCUGUUGGGACCCGAAAGAUGGUGAACUAUGCCUGAAUAGGGCGAAGCCAGAGGAAACUCUGGUGGAGGCUCGUAGCGGUUCUGACGUGCAAAUCGAUCGUCGAAAUUUGGGUAUAGGGGCGAAAGACUAAUCGAAACCAUCUGGUAGCUGCUCUGCGGAG
This 910-nucleotide ribosomal RNA is filed under the name Penicillium italicum. RNAcentral's name for it is "LSU rRNA". It matches the Rfam family "Eukaryotic large subunit ribosomal RNA", at positions 38 to 963 of the family's 3401-position model. The record is from RNAcentral. Lineage: Eukaryota; Fungi; Ascomycota; Eurotiomycetes; Eurotiales; Aspergillaceae.